CCUGCUCACAAAAAACAGUCACUAAGAAGAGGAAGGCAUUGGCAGGUCCUGGAGCAGUUAAAAACCCAAGAGUUAAGACUGGUGAUUGCGGGACUUGUGCUGCACUCACUUUUACAGUCAUGUAUCAGCACAUGCUUGUUCUGGAAUUUUUUUUUUUUUUAUGGUUUGUGAGGAUUGGAAUAUAGAAGUUGGCAAGAGACAUUUAGGAAGACUUGUACGACCAGUCACUUAUAGCACCAACAAAACUUUGCAGCACUUGAUACACUGACAUAAAUAGGGUUAUUCACUAGAGUGAAACAAUUCAAAGUGAAUUUUGAGGCAAAUGUGAAGAGUGAAGCAAAUUUAAGGCCAAAGUAGCUAAACUGAAAGCGUAGCAUAAUUGGAAUUUUUUCCAUUUU
Molecule: non-coding RNA, 398 nt
Organism: Pelobates cultripes (western spadefoot toad)
Lineage: Eukaryota; Metazoa; Chordata; Amphibia; Anura; Pelobatidae
Source: the annotation of a GenBank genome assembly